GACGAACGCUGGCGGCGUGCUUAACACAUGCAAGUCGAACGGAAAGGCCCUGCUUUUGUGGGGUGCUCGAGUGGCGAACGGGUGAGUAACACGUGAGUAACCUGCCCUUGACUUUGGUAUAACUUCAGGAAACUGGGUCUAAUACCGGAUAUGAGCUCCUGCUGCAUGGUGGGUGUUGGAAAGUUUCGGCGGUUGGGGAUGGACUCGCGGCUUAUCAGCUUGUUGGUGGGGUAGUGGCUUACCAAGGCUUUGACGGGUAGCCGGCCUGAGAGGGUGACCGGCGACAUUGGGACUGAGAGACGGCCCAGACGGCUACGGGAGGCAGCAGUGGGGAAGAUUGCACAAUGGGCGGAAGCCGGAUGAAGAAACGAGGCGUGCGGGAUGACGGCCUUCGGGUUGUAAACAGAUUUAGGCUGUGACGAAGCGGGAGUGACGGUAAUGGGUAAAGAAGCACCGGCUAACUACGUG
This 468-nucleotide ribosomal RNA is filed under the name uncultured bacterium. Its description in RNAcentral is "partial 16S ribosomal RNA". It matches the Rfam family "Bacterial small subunit ribosomal RNA", at positions 28 to 507 of the family's 1533-position model. The record is from RNAcentral.